RNAcentral lists this unclassified non-coding RNA (400 nucleotides) under uncultured fungus. RNAcentral describes it as "partial contains small subunit ribosomal RNA, internal transcribed spacer 1, and 5.8S ribosomal RNA". The stretch from base 1 to 73 matches the Rfam family "Eukaryotic small subunit ribosomal RNA", at positions 1759 to 1831 of the family's 1831-position model. The record is from RNAcentral. Lineage: Eukaryota; Fungi.
CCAAACUUGGUCAUUUAGAGGAAGUAAAAGUCGUAACAAGGUUUCCGUAGGUGAACCUGCGGAAGGAUCAUUAUUGAAUACCACUUGAUAGGUUGUAGCUGGCUCUUAGGAGCAUGUGCACGCCUGUCUUGGACUCUAUUCAUCCACCUGUGCACUAUUUGUAGUCUUUGGAGAAUGAUAUGAAACAACGUCGGUUGACAGACCGGAGUAGAGGAAUGCUUGAGCAAUAUCAAUGUACAGGCUCUCCUCAGUAUGUUGUGAAGUCUCCCUCUAAAGUCUAUGUUUUUAUUCAUUAACCAAGUAUGUUGUCGAAUGUAUUCAUUGGGCUAUAAUGCCUAUACAAUAUUAUACAACUUUCAGCAAUGGAUCUCUUGGCUCUCGCAUCGAUGAAGAACGCAGC